GAGUGUUACAGCUCUUUUAGAAUUUGUCUGUCAGGUUUUCCAGCCUUACUGGAAACCCCCC
This 61-nucleotide small nuclear RNA is filed under the name Lynx canadensis (Canada lynx). RNAcentral's name for it is "U7 small nuclear RNA (ENSLCNG00005017509.1)". It matches the Rfam family "U7 small nuclear RNA". Rfam says of the family: Animal histone pre-mRNAs are spliced by a different mechanism than nuclear pre-mRNAs and self-splicing introns. Lineage: Eukaryota; Metazoa; Chordata; Mammalia; Carnivora; Felidae. The record is from Rfam by way of RNAcentral.